UGAGGAAUAUUGGACAAUGGGCGCAAGCCUGAUCCAGCCAUGCCGCGUGCAGGAUGACGGUCCUAUGGAUUGUAAACUGCUUUUAUACAGGAAGAAACACUCCCUCGUGAGGGAGCUUGACGGUACUGUAAGAAUAAGGAUCGGCUAACUCCGUG
RNAcentral lists this ribosomal RNA (155 nucleotides) under uncultured bacterium. RNAcentral describes it as "partial 16S ribosomal RNA". It matches the Rfam family "Bacterial small subunit ribosomal RNA", at positions 355 to 507 of the family's 1533-position model. The record is from RNAcentral.